AUACRACUCACUAUAKGGGGAUGUGCUUCCUACUCGUGUAGAAGGCCUUUGGUUGUAAAGCACAUUUAAGCGAGGAGGAGGCUACCUGUAUUAAUACUAUAGGCUAGUGGACGUUACUCGCAGAAUAAGCACCGGCUAACUCUGUGCCAGCAGCCGCGGUAAUACAGAGGGUGCGAGCGUUAAUCGGAAUUACUGGGCGUAAAGCGCGCGUAGGCGGUUUGUUAAGUCGGAUGUGAAAUCCCCGGGCUCAACCUGGGAAUUGCAUUCGAUACUGGCAAGCUAGAGUAUGGGAGAGGAAGGUAGAAUUCCAGGUGUAGCGGUGAAAUGCGUAGAGAUCUGGAGGAAUACCGAUGGCGAAGGCAGCCUUCUGGCCUAAUACUGACGCUGAGGUGCGAAAGCAUGGGGAGCAAACAGGAUUAGAUACCCUGGUAGUCCAUGCCGUAAACGAUGUCAACUAGCCGUUGGGGGAUUUGAUCCUUUAGUGGCGCAGCUAACGCGAUAAGUUGACCGCCUGGGGAGUACGGUCGCAAGACUAAAACUCAAAUGAAACGCGAAGAACCUUAC
This 564-nucleotide ribosomal RNA is filed under the name uncultured Moraxellaceae bacterium. Its description in RNAcentral is "bacterial SSU rRNA". It matches the Rfam family "Bacterial small subunit ribosomal RNA", at positions 366 to 926 of the family's 1533-position model. The record is from RNAcentral. Lineage: Bacteria; Pseudomonadati; Pseudomonadota; Gammaproteobacteria; Moraxellales; Moraxellaceae.